UGCAGUCGAACGAUGAAGCCCAGCUUGCUGGGUGGAUUAGUGGCGAACGGGUGAGUAACACGUGAGUAACCUGCCCUGGACUCUGGGAUAAGCGUUGGAAACGACGUCUAAUACCGGAUAGGACCUUCGACCGCAUGGUUGGGGGUGGAAAGUUUUUCGGUCUGGGAUGGACUCGCGGCCUAUCAGCUUGUUGGUGAGGUAAUGGCUCACCAAGGCGUCGACGGGUAGCCGGCCUGAGAGGGUGACCGGCCACACUGGGACUGAGACACGGCCCAGACUCCUACGGGAGGCAGCAGUGGGGAAUAUUGCACAAUGGGCGAAAGCCUGAUGCAGCAACGCCGCGUGCGGGAUGACGGCCUUCGGGUUGUAAACCGCUUUUAGUAAGGAAGAAGGGGAGCUUGCUCCUUGACGGUACUUGCAGAAAAAGGACCGGCUAACUACGUGCCAGCAGCCGCGGUAAUACGUAGGGUCCGAGCGUUGUCCGGAAUUAUUGGGCGUAAAGAGCUCGUAGGCGGUUUGUCGCGUCUGCUGUGAAAUCUGGAGGCUCAACCUCCAGCCUGCAGUGGGUACGGGCAGACUAGAGUGCGGUAGGGGAGAAUGGAAUUCCUGGUGUAGCGGUGGAAUGCGCAGAUAUCAGGAGGAACACCGAUGGCGAAGGCAGUUCUCUGGGCCGUAACUGACGCUGAGGAGCGAAAGCGUGGGGAGCGAACAGGAUUAGAUACCCUGGUAGUCCACGCCGUAAACGUUGGGCGCUAGAUGUGGGGACCUUUCCACGGUUUCCGUGUCGUAGCUAACGCAUUAAGCGCCCCGCCUGGGGAGUACGGCCGCAAGGCUAAAACUCAAAGGAAUUGACGGGGGCCCGCACAAGCGGCGGAGCAUGCGGAUUAAUUCGAUGCAACGCGAAGAACCUUACCAAGGCUUGACAUGACCGAGAACGCCGCAGAAAUGUGGAACUCUUUGGACACUCGGUUACAGGUGGUGCAUGGUUGUCGUCAGCUCGUGUCGUGAGAUGUUGGGUUAAGUCCCGCAACGAGCGCAACCCUCGUCGCAUGUUGCCAGCACGUAAUGGUGGGAACUCAUGUGAGACUGCCGGGGUCAACUCGGAGGAAGGUGGGGAUGACGUCAAAUCAUCAUGCCCCUUAUGUCUUGGGCUUCACGCAUGCUACAAUGGCCGGUACAAAGGGCUGCGAUGUCGUAAGGCGGAGCGAAUCCCAAAAAGCCGGUCUCAGUUCGGAUUGAGGUCUGCAACUCGACCUCAUGAAGUCGGAGUCGCUAGUAAUCGCAGAUCAG
This 1290-nucleotide ribosomal RNA is filed under the name Agromyces sp. RNAcentral's name for it is "bacterial SSU rRNA". It matches the Rfam family "Bacterial small subunit ribosomal RNA", at positions 56 to 1352 of the family's 1533-position model. Lineage: Bacteria; Bacillati; Actinomycetota; Actinomycetes; Micrococcales; Microbacteriaceae. The record is from RNAcentral.